This 366-nucleotide ribosomal RNA is filed under the name uncultured eukaryote. RNAcentral describes it as "partial 18S ribosomal RNA". It matches the Rfam family "Eukaryotic small subunit ribosomal RNA", at positions 592 to 976 of the family's 1831-position model. The record is from RNAcentral.
CAAUAGCGUAUAUUAAAGUUGUUGCAGUUAAAAAGCUCGUAGUUGAAUUUCUGGGCGGCCCGCCGGUCUUCCAUGUGUUGUACUGGGCGGCGCCGGCCAUCCUUGUGGAGAGGGCUCGCAUUUGGUUGCGUGUCGGAUCUGCAUCAUUUACUGUGAAAAAAUUAGAGUGUUUAAAGCAGGCUGUCGCUUGAAUACAUUAGCAUGGAAUAAUAAGAUAGGACUUCGGUCUAUUUUGUUGGUUGCGAACCGAGGUAAUGAUUAAUAGGGAUAGUUGGGGGUAUUCAUAUUUAAUUGUCAGAGGUGAAAUUCUUGAAUUUAUGAAAGAUGAACAACUGCGAAAGCAUUUACCAAGGAUGUUUUCAUUAA